CGAGGAUGCGGACCUGCGUUUGUGCUCGUGGGUCCUCAUGGGGGCUGCUGGUCACCUUCCACUUUUGCCUUCCGUAUGUUCCACAGUUGAGGGCAGCUCAGGGCAAUAAGGCAAAUGGCUCCAAACUGUCCCACGGUGGAGCCGGUGCUUGGACUGGAGAGGGGGCUCAUGGGGUGGCUUUCCAGGGUCCUGGCUCUCGGAGGAAGUGCAGCUUCGACAGGGACAGAGGUCACUCCUCUCUGCUGUCUCCUAGAUUCUAGGGAAGGGCUUCGACUGGCCGCUGCUGGUGAAGGACUUCAACCUGCUUCACUGGCUUGGUGCCAACGCCUUCUGUACCAGCCACUACCCCUGCGCGGAGGAAGUGCUGCAGAUGUGUGACUGCUAUGGGAUUGUGGUCAUUGAUGAGUGUCCCGCCGUGGGCCUGGUGCUGGCAUGAGUCCCCACCACGCACCUGCUCCACCUGCCCAGCCCGCGGGCCGCACUGUGACCCUCUGUCCCUUCCCUCCUGGCCCGCAGGCAGCUCUUCAACACGUGCCUAUGCAUCAACACAUGCGGGUGAUGGAGGAACUGGUGUGCAGGGACAAGAACCACCCCACCGUGGUGAUGUAGUCUGUGGCCAACAAGCCUGCGUCCUACCUGGAAUCUGCCGGCUACUACUUCAGGGUCCACCUCUGCUGUUCAGUGAAGAGUACCAGAAGAGUCUGCCAGAGAAGUACCAUCUGGGUCUGGAUCAAAAACGCAGAAAAUACGUGGUUGGAGAGCUCAUCGGGAAUUCUGCCUAUUUCAUGACUAUCCAGUGGUUUGCUAAGCCUAGUUAGCCUCAGACUCAGCCUCGAAGAGGACAGAGGAGCACUUCUAAAGCAUGCAUCUCAAGCCCUUUCUUCUGGGGGUCAGACUCCGUGCAUCAGGAUGGAGAUUGGGUGUCAGAUCACCCUUUGUUCUUGCAGAGAGGGUGAGUAACCAAUCCUGAAACCCAGGAGUACCCCACUUGAUCUUCUUAAAAUAAACUCUCCAGAG
RNAcentral lists this long non-coding RNA (1017 nucleotides) under Pongo abelii (Sumatran orangutan). RNAcentral describes it as "lncRNA (ENSPPYG00000036941.1)". The record is from RNAcentral. Lineage: Eukaryota; Metazoa; Chordata; Mammalia; Primates; Hominidae.